AAAAACUCUAAAGUAAUUUUAAACAGAGAAAAAAGAAAUCUAACCUAAUGGCGUGACAUUUUCAUUAUUAUUUUAUCUGGAAGAGAAAUAGUAAAAUCAAAGUAUAUGAAAAGAAGAAUGAUAAGACUUCAGUAUAAAUAUCUUACAAGUUACAGGAUUAGCUGCUAGUUGGGAAAUCCAGUCAUGUUUUAUGCCUCACAGUAUAUGUUUGGAAUAAUAGGAAGGAACCUGCAAAGAUCAUUGAGACCCACUGCCUGACCUCUUGAGGACUAAGCAGGCAUUCAAGCAUGAUUUUGAGGGCAGUCUUCAAAUGCCUCCUGAACACUGGUGUGGGGCAUCAACCACCUCUUUAGGAAGCUUGUUCCAUUGUAUGACCACCCUCACUGUAAAGACAUGUUUCCAACACCCAGUCUGACCCUCACCUGGCUUACUUUGUGUCAUUCCUGUCCUUCUAGCAGUUGCUAGGAGCAGAGCUCAGCACCACCAUCUGCUUCCCUCCUCGGGGAGAUGCAGGGAGCAGCAAAAUGAUGAUCGUGGUAGGUUGCGUACAGCCAGUGGAGGGAAAAUGGCAGUAGGAAAAAUAAGAGUCCAAAUAAAUUUGCUCAUAAAAGCUCAUACCUACACCCAGAAUUGUGCUGUGAAGUUUUCCCUUCCAUUAGGACAUAAUUUUAAAGCAUCAGUUACUCAAUAUUAGAGUAGCAUGAUUGGAAGGCAGCCCUAUGAGUCCUGCAAGAGCAAAGGUACUGCUGCAUCUUGUUAUACGUGCAGUGUAGUGUGAAUUUAGUGUGAGUUACAUUGGCAUAAAAAACAUUAGAAAUAUCACUGUACUUUCACCAUAAAAAUACUGUGUAGAGUAAAAAAAAAAAAAAAAAAAAAAAAAAAAAGAUAAUCAAAUAUUCUCUCUGGACUAAUUAUUUUCUUUUAAAAAGACUCUGCUAAACCAAUCUUUGUCUUAUUUGCAGUUGCUCACAAAUAUGCGUAAUUGAUGGAAAAAGGAGAAAUAUUCUUUGGAUGCUAUGCCGCCAGCUAUUUGCAUGGCACCACAGAUGUGUGUGGCACUCAGGAGUCUGAUCUGCAGUUCACAUCAGCUCUAAUCAGUCUGAGAGUAGCAUUCGGUAGAAACAAGAAGGACCACAAAACCUUUUGGUCUCUGGAAACCCACAGGGCAACCAUAUGUUUUUUACAACUGCAGAACUUGAGUUCAUCUCACUGGACAUUCUGGAGUACCAGUGGGACUUCCCUAACAAAUAAUUACUAUGUGAAUAGUCACCAGUAUUGAAGAGAAGACAAGUGUUAAAAUUACCAGCACUAAGGAAGAUAUGGAAAGCUGCAAGGGAGAGGUAUGGAAAUGUACCCAAACCAUCAGAGAAAAAGGCCUCAAGCAUAUUUCUACUGCCUUCUACUCUGUAGCAAGCCUAGCAAUCCAUUCAGUAAGCCCGCAAACCAGGACUGCUGUGGAAAUGCCGUUUGUCCCAGUGGUGUUUCCAGGGGAUGAGGGCAGUCAGGAAGCAGUAAGACUGCCAUUCUACUUGACUGAUUUGUGAGCAUAGCAGUGAUAAGUGACAUCUGUCUAAAUACAACAAUGGUAACGAUGACUAUUGACAAAUAGGAACUUUGUGUGUAACACUUGGUUAUGCACAGGAACACACAGAACGAAGGCAGACAGGUGUGUGCUUUUUCUCUCCUUGCAAAAAAAAACAACCACCUAGCCGGUGUUCUGUAUAUGAAGAUGAUACUUGUUGCAACUCGUUCUACUUUGCAGUGUUCAACAGUGGCUAUUAGCAAAGGUUCAACCAAUGCACUUUUGGGUAUGCACAUGAAAAACAGCUUCACACGUUAGCAGAGCCAACAGCAUUUAGGUUCAUCUGGUUUUUGGUGCUUUGGGAAGACUAUAAAUGAAGAGUUAAUUGAACAACAGCAAAAUACAUAUCAAGACAAUCCCACAACCCAUUUUUCGAUAAUUGUUUCUUCUCUUAAGAGAACAUUACCUCUCUCACAGAUGGUCAGAGUGAUGCAUUUGGGGAAAUCAACCAACUUGGCUUUCUUCCUGAUCUCUCUGCUUAGUAACUGCAGCGUUUAACCCCAGAAGUAUUACUUAACUUUGCUCCAGAUACCAUUCUAAUCAACAAUAUUAGGCUUCACAGUUGGAAAACUCUUUCUAAGGUCUCUGAACCUAAUUUUAUUUUUCUCAGUGUUUUAGACAUUUGGAAACCGUUUGCCAAUGUAAAGUUUGGUUACUUACGAAUCGCUUGAAAUAGGCUUACAUAAAUACAGCUUGUAGGAGGUUGAAGGAAUCGUGUGAAUUUCGUAAUUCUAGGAGUUGUUCUUGUAUAGUCAUCUUCCAACUGAAAUCAGUGGUGCAUAGAAAGGAAGAUAUGUUAAACAGUUAAAGCACUGAUAUAGAGACUGGGAUCUGACUUUCAAGUUCAGUUCCUUCUCUGAGAUUCGGUCUCUGUGCUAUAGUACAGUAUGCACAUACUGGUAUUUUCACAUUCUGUGGCUUUGAGACGUUAAAAAUAGGCGCCCAAGUACUGGUAUAAGGACUGGUUAACAAGCCCCCAGAAAUACUUGGUUUGUGUCUGUGUGGUUGCGGUGGACAACUGGUUGCACUCUGCUUUCAGACAGAGUGACCUUCAUCAGUCAGAAGCAUCUCAGUGCUCAGGGGUGCAGGCAGAGAAGGGACUUAUCCAUCUUUUUCACAGCAAGUCCGAGUUGGGUGGAAUAAAGGAGCUUGAAAUCUAACCUGUGCUUUUUGU
RNAcentral lists this long non-coding RNA (2756 nucleotides) under Phasianus colchicus (ring-necked pheasant). RNAcentral describes it as "lncRNA (ENSPCLG00000008813.1)". The record is from RNAcentral. Lineage: Eukaryota; Metazoa; Chordata; Aves; Galliformes; Phasianidae.